This is a non-coding RNA of Camellia sinensis, 1012 nucleotides long. The record is from RefSeq and is a predicted model, not a curated record. NCBI's taxonomy places the organism in Eukaryota, Viridiplantae, Streptophyta, Magnoliopsida, Ericales, Theaceae.
AUAUUGGAAUCCACUCUCCCGUCCUGAUCUUCUUCACUCACAUCCCAGACAAUCUUGAUGUGGCGAACUCACUUAAAAGAUUAGCAUCUCGGUCUUCUUGGACGAUCAUAAGGUGAUUUCAAACCAUUUUUUUACUGAAUAUGUACAUUUUUUUAAAAGCCCCAACUUAAAUUGAUUGUGUAUGUACAUUUUUUUAAAAGCAAAACUUUAAUAACAAAGGAUUUGUGUUUUUUGUUUUUUGUUUUUUUUUCUUGCCUUCAAAUUGUUUGAUAAAAUGUCUGGAAAGAAAACUGUUUCCUCUGCUGGUUCUGUUACUAAAUUGGAAAUGAAUAGCAUGUAAUUUAUAGUGCAGGGUCUGGAUUAAAACCUCUUAAUCUUGCUACCUUAACAACUCAUUUCUGGCUAACGCGUGGUAUACUGCUCUGUUGGUUUUUUAAAAAAGUCUAAGGAAUUCAAAUUAUGAUCAGGAUUAAGUUUUUUAUUUAUCUGUUUUUAUGAUGAAGUUUUUAGUAUCGCUACUUUGAGCUUUGGUAUUUUUGUAGUUGACAGCUACUUAUCAUUUCUUUUGACAGGAGCACUAUGUCAUUGAUAUGCUUUGGGCGGUUCUCAAGAAUUUUUCCAUGGAAAAUCAGAUGAAAUUUUUGAAGCAUGGAAGGAAAGGAACAAGAAGCUCUACAAGAACACAUUCCGGGAUGCUAAGACAAUCAUAGAAGAAAUAGUGACAACCAUUACAUCUCGCCUUUGCCUAGCAAAAGGAAUCAAGCACACUCACAAACUAACAAGUGGAUUCAGCAAGAAUGGAACCUACCAGACUCCACAUUCUGUAAUCUUUUGUAAUUCACUACUCUUUGAGAUCAUGUCUUGUCCUAGAAUAAGAUGCCUUAUGGUUUUCAACCUCGGCUUUGUUAUUCAUUUCUUGUGGAACUUAUUGAUCAAAGAUAGACCUAUCUUAUCCAAUGUGCUUGGAUUUUAUUCUCAUUACUAGUGAAAUUUGUUAAUUAUUGUUCCUUAA